UACAGAGGGUGCAAGCGUUGUUCGGAAUUAUUGGGCGUAAAGGGCUCGUAGGCGGAUCUAAAAGUCUGACGUGAAAUCUCCACCGCUCACCGGGGAGGGGCCGUUGGAUACUGUAGAUCUGGAGUUCGGUAGAGGGUCGUGGAAUUUCGGGUGUAGCGGUGGAAUGCGUAGAUAUCCGAAAGAACACCGGUGGCGAAGGCGGCGACCUGGGCCUGAACUGACGCUGAGGAGCGAAAGCUAGGGGAGCAAACGGG
Molecule: ribosomal RNA, 254 nt
Filed under: uncultured bacterium
Lineage: Bacteria
Description: partial 16S ribosomal RNA
Rfam family: Bacterial small subunit ribosomal RNA
Source: RNAcentral